This 254-nucleotide ribosomal RNA is filed under the name uncultured bacterium. RNAcentral describes it as "partial 16S ribosomal RNA". It matches the Rfam family "Bacterial small subunit ribosomal RNA", at positions 524 to 776 of the family's 1533-position model. The record is from RNAcentral.
UACGAAGGGGGCUAGCGUUGUUCGGAAUUACUGGGCGUAAAGCGCACGUAGGCGGAUAUUUAAGUCAGGGGUGAAAUCCCAGAGCCCAACUCUGGAACUGCCUUUGAUACUGGGUAUCUUGAGUAUGGAAGAGGUAAGUGGAAUUGCGAGUGUAGAGGUGAAAUUCGUAGAUAUUCGCAGGAACACCAGUGGCGAAGGCGGCUUACUGGUCCAUAACUGACGCUGAGGCGACGAAAGCGUGGGGAGCAAACAGG